GAACACAACCGCCAAUCGGGUCUCUACCAAACAGCACCACAUCACAGGUAACAGAACAUAGCUACUAAGCAGGUCUGUACAAAACAGCAUAAUAUCACAGGUAAUAGAACAGAAGUGCUGACUGGGUCUACCAAAAAGCACCAUAUCACAGGCAACAGGACAUAACCGCCAAACAGAUCCCUAUCAAAAAUCACGUCACAGGCAACAGAAUGUAACCACCAAACAAGUCUCUACCAAACACCAUAUCACACGUAACAGAAUGUAGCCACCAUCCAGGUCUCUACAAAACAGAAUCACAGCCGCGGGAUCAAAGCAAACUUGCCAGCCAGCUCUCAAAAAAAAA
Molecule: long non-coding RNA, 343 nt
Organism: Anguilla anguilla (European eel)
Lineage: Eukaryota; Metazoa; Chordata; Actinopteri; Anguilliformes; Anguillidae
Exons: 2
Source: RefSeq, a predicted model, not a curated record